RNAcentral lists this transfer RNA (76 nucleotides) under Candidatus Moraniibacteriota bacterium. RNAcentral's name for it is "tRNA-Arg". It matches the Rfam family "tRNA". Rfam says of the family: Transfer RNA (tRNA) molecules are approximately 80 nucleotides in length. Their secondary structure includes four short double-helical elements and three loops (D, anti-codon, and T loops). Further hydrogen bonds mediate the characteristic L-shaped molecular structure. tRNAs have two regions of fundamental functional importance: the anti-codon, which is responsible for specific mRNA codon recognition, and the 3' end, to which the tRNAs corresponding amino acid is attached (by aminoacyl-tRNA synthetases). tRNAs cope with the degeneracy of the genetic code in two manners: having more than one tRNA (with a specific anti-codon) for a particular amino acid; and 'wobble' base-pairing, i.e. permitting non-standard base-pairing at the 3rd anti-codon position. Lineage: Bacteria; Candidatus Moraniibacteriota. The record is from RNAcentral.
GCGCUCGUAGCUCAGUGGAUAGAGUACCUGGCUUCGAACCAGAGGGUCGGGGGUUCGAUUCCCUCCGAGCGCACCA